Molecule: ribosomal RNA, 210 nt
Filed under: uncultured bacterium
Lineage: Bacteria
Description: partial 16S ribosomal RNA
Rfam family: Bacterial small subunit ribosomal RNA
Source: RNAcentral
GUUCGGAUUGUAGUCUGCAACCCGACUACAUGAAGCUGGAAUCGCUAGUAAUCGCGGAUCAGAAUGCCGCGGUGAAUACGUUCCCGGGUCUUGUACACACCGCCCGUCACACCAUGGGAGUCGGAAAUGCCCGAAGUCUGUGACCCAACCUACGGGAGGGAGCAGCCGAAGGCAGGUCGGAUGACUGGGGUGAAGUCGUAACAAGGUAGC